RNAcentral lists this ribosomal RNA (439 nucleotides) under uncultured bacterium. RNAcentral describes it as "partial 16S ribosomal RNA". It matches the Rfam family "Bacterial small subunit ribosomal RNA", at positions 29 to 507 of the family's 1533-position model. The record is from RNAcentral.
ACGAACGCUGGCGGCGUGCCUAAUGCAUGCCAGUCGCACGCGGCACCUUCGGGUGCUGAGUGGCGAACGGCUGAGGAACACGUGGGGACCUGUCCGGGAGUGGGGGACAACACCGCGAAAGCGGUGCUAAUCCCGCAUACGCUCUGAGGAGGAAAGCCGAAAGGCGCUCCCGGGUGGCCCUGCGGCCCAUCAGGUUGUUGGUGGGGUAACGGCCUACCAAGCCAAUGACGGGUCGCUGGUCUGUGAGGACGACCAGCCAGACUGGGACUGGGACACGGCCCAGACUCCUACGGGAGGCAGCAGCAAGGAAUUUUCGGCAAUGGGCGCAAGCCUGACCGAGCAACGCCGCGUGCAGGAAGACGGCCUUCGGGUUGUAAACUGCUUUUGCUAGGGAUGAUAACAGACAGUACCUGGCGAAUCAGCCCCGGCUAACUCUGUG